This 425-nucleotide ribosomal RNA is filed under the name uncultured bacterium. RNAcentral describes it as "partial 16S ribosomal RNA". It matches the Rfam family "Bacterial small subunit ribosomal RNA", at positions 354 to 796 of the family's 1533-position model. The record is from RNAcentral.
GUUAGGAAUAUUGGACAAUGGGCGCAAGCCUGAUCCAGCCAUGCCGCGUGAGUGAUGAAGGCCUUCGGGUUGUAAAGCUCUUUAGCCGAUGAUUAUAAUGACUGUAGUCGGAAAAUAAGCCCCGGCUAACUUCGUGCCAGCAGCCGCGGUAAUACGAAGGGGGCGAGCGUUAUUCGGAAUCACUGGGCGUAAAGCGUGCGUAGGCGGCUUUGUAAGUUGGGAGUGAAAGCCCAGGGCUCAACCCUGGAAUUGCUCUCAAAACUGCAAGGCUCGAAUUCGGGAGAGGAUAGCGGAAUUGUCAGUGUAGCAGUGAAAUGCGUAGAUAUUGACAGGAACACCAGUGGCGUAAGCGGCUAUCUGGACCGAUAUUGACGCUGAGGCACGAAAGCGUGGGGAUCAAACAGGAUUAGAAACCCUAGUAGUCC